RNAcentral lists this ribosomal RNA (941 nucleotides) under Sanguibacter inulinus. Its description in RNAcentral is "bacterial SSU rRNA". It matches the Rfam family "Bacterial small subunit ribosomal RNA", at positions 80 to 1036 of the family's 1533-position model. Lineage: Bacteria; Bacillati; Actinomycetota; Actinomycetes; Micrococcales; Sanguibacteraceae. The record is from RNAcentral.
UGCUCUGGUUGAUCAGUGGCGAACGGGUGAGUAACACGUGAGUAACCUGCCCUUGACUCUGGGAUAACUCCGGGAAACCGGGGCUAAUACCGGAUACGAGACGCGACCGCAUGGUCGGCGUCUGGAAAGUUUUUCGGUCAAGGAUGGACUCGCGGCCUAUCAGCUUGUUGGUGAGGUAAUGGCUCACCAAGGCGUCGACGGGUAGCCGGCCUGAGAGGGCGACCGGCCACACUGGGACUGAGACACGGCCCAGACUCCUACGGGAGGCAGCAGUGGGGAAUAUUGCACAAUGGGCGAAAGCCUGAUGCAGCGACGCCGCGUGAGGGAUGAAGGCCUUCGGGUUGUAAACCUCUUUCAGUAGGGAAGAAGCGAAAGUGACGGUACCUGCAGAAGAAGCGCCGGCUAACUACGUGCCAGCAGCCGCGGUAAUACGUAGGGCGCAAGCGUUGUCCGGAAUUAUUGGGCGUAAAGAGCUCGUAGGCGGUUUGUCGCGUCUGGUGUGAAAACUCAAGGCUCAACCUUGAGCUUGCAUCGGGUACGGGCAGACUAGAGUGUGGUAGGGGUGACUGGAAUUCCUGGUGUAGCGGUGGAAUGCGCAGAUAUCAGGAGGAACACCGAUGGCGAAGGCAGGUCACUGGGCCACUACUGACGCUGAGGAGCGAAAGCAUGGGGAGCGAACAGGAUUAGAUACCCUGGUAGUCCAUGCCGUAAACGUUGGGCACUAGGUGUGGGGCUCAUUCCACGAGUUCCGCGCCGCAGCUAACGCAUUAAGUGCCCCGCCUGGGGAGUACGGCCGCAAGGCUAAAACUCAAAGGAAUUGACGGGGGCCCGCACAAGCGGCGGAGCAUGCGGAUUAAUUCGAUGCAACGCGAAGAACCUUACCAAGGCUUGACAUACACCGGAAUCAUGCAGAGAUGUGUGCGUCUUCGGACUGGUGUACA